RNAcentral lists this ribosomal RNA (351 nucleotides) under uncultured Idiomarina sp. RNAcentral's name for it is "bacterial SSU rRNA". It matches the Rfam family "Bacterial small subunit ribosomal RNA", at positions 49 to 397 of the family's 1533-position model. The record is from RNAcentral. Lineage: Bacteria; Pseudomonadati; Pseudomonadota; Gammaproteobacteria; Alteromonadales; Idiomarinaceae.
UAACACAUGCAAGUCGAGCGGUAACAGAGAGAAGCUUGCUUCUCUGCUGACGAGCGGCGGACGGGUGAGUAAGACUUGGGAAUUUGCCUUUAGGCGGGGGACAACCACGGGAAACUGUGGCUAAUACCGCAUAAUGUCUACGGACCAAAGUGGGGGACCUUCGGGCCUCACACCUAAAGAUGAGCCCAAGCGGGAUUAGCUAGUUGGUGGGGUAAAGGCUCACCAAGGCGACGAUCCCUAGCUGUUCUGAGAGGAUGAUCAGCCACACUGGGACUGAGACACGGCCCAGACUCCUACCGAGGCAGCAGUGGGGAAAACGUCACAAGGGGGGAAUCGCCCGCCGCGCCCCGC